CACGUAGGGUGCGAGCGUUAAUCGGAAUUACUGGGCGUAAAGCGUGCGCAGGCGGUUUUGUAAGUCAGAUGUGAAAUCCCCGGGCUUAACCUGGGAACUGCGUUUGAAACUACAAGGCUAGAGUGUGGCAGAGGGGGGUGGAAUUCCACGUGUAGCAGUGAAAUGCGUAGAGAUGUGGAGGAACACCGAUGGCGAAGGCAGCCCCCUGGGUUAACACUGACGCUCAGGCACGAAAGCGUGGGGAGCAAACAGG
Molecule: ribosomal RNA, 253 nt
Filed under: uncultured bacterium
Lineage: Bacteria
Description: partial 16S ribosomal RNA
Rfam family: Bacterial small subunit ribosomal RNA
Source: RNAcentral